This 407-nucleotide ribosomal RNA is filed under the name uncultured bacterium. RNAcentral describes it as "partial 16S ribosomal RNA". It matches the Rfam family "Bacterial small subunit ribosomal RNA", at positions 30 to 526 of the family's 1533-position model. The record is from RNAcentral.
AUUGAACGCUAGCGGGAUGCCUAACACAUGCAAGUCGAACGGAGUGGCGAACGGGUGAGUAAUGCAUCGGAAUGUGCCCAGUAGCGGGGGAUAACUACGCGAAAGAGGAGCUAAUACCGCAUACUAUUAGAGCGGCCGAUGUCGGAUUAGCUAGUUGGUGGGGUAACGGCCUACCAAGGCGACGAUCCGUAGCUGGUUUGAGAGGACGACCAGCCACACUGGAACUGAGACACGGCCCAGACUCCUACGGGAGGCAGCAGUGGGGAAUUUUGGACAAUGGGCGAAAGCCUGAUCCAGCCAUCCCGCGUGUGCGAAGAAGGCCUUCGGGUUGUAAAGCACUGUUGGCAGGGAAGCGGUACCUACAGAAUAAGCACCGGCUAACUACGUGCCAGCAGCCGCGGUAAUUC